UAGGAUUAAUAUCAGCCCAUUUUUUGGAGGAGAACCAACAAGACUGGCUAUUUGACUGGAUCCCCCAAUUGGUUUACUCCAAGGAAUAUGUUUAAUACUGUUCAAAAGAAGAGAAGGAAAGAAAAGCAAAAAGAACAGAGGAAAAGAAACCCAGAGGCAAGGAAUAAAAAAGUCCUAUACAAAAAGACUCCACCACAAAGAAGAUUGAGAGGCACAAGGAAAAUCAGCCCUGAGAAGUAAAUACUGUUGCUGUCAUCCCUAUUUUACAAAUGAGGAAACAAAAAUAGAGAAAUGAAGCAAUUUGUCCAAGAUCACUCUGCUGGCAAGCAACAGAACCAGGAGUUUAACCCAGAUCAUAGCAGAGAACAAACAAGGAGGAGGAAGAACAGGAGGAGGAGGGGGAAAAGAGGAGGAAGAAGAAAGAAAGAUUAAAGAAGAAGAAAGAAGGAAGGAGGAGGGGAGAAAAAGAAAAUAAUAAUAAUGAUAGUCUCAAUUUUAGACUAUUAUGUACCAUAUUAAGGACUUAACAUUCACUCCCUCACUCAUACAUUUUUUCAAGUUGCCGUUCUGCGGAAAACACUCUGCACAGUGGGACUAUGGGGGCACAUGGUCAGCCAAGCACCAUUCCAUAAAGGGACUAAGUGACAGAACAGACUGGAUGUGAGAUGGCAACUGUACUUCAGGUACUUUUCCAAGAAAGGGAGUUUCUUGACCCAAAAAAGAUAGGCAUUUUAUCUUAACUGAUUUUAAUGCAUAAAGAACCUGACCAACAGUUCACACAUUCCUCCUGGAGAGAAGUCAGGAUGAGGAGAUUUUAAAAAAAAGCUUUCCCUACAAUUCCAGGAAGAAAUUACUCUUCUAGGCCACCAGGAUGGUGGUGGUAAUCGAGCAAAUGCAUGCAAACCUUGAUGCAACUGCUAACUUUUACCAAAAAAGAAACUGAUUUUCUACUGACUGACUUCCUCCGUUUUGGCUUUAAAGUCAGCCAUUAGGCAUCUAUUGCUGUCAUAUUCCCCAUGGGUCUUAGGUUGGACCAUCUGUUCUUACAAACAUCCUAAAAGAAACAAUAGGCCAGGCACGGUGGCUCGUGCCUGUAAUCCCAGCACUUUGGGAGGUUGAGGCAGGUGGAUCACAAAGUCAGGAGCUCA
This 1148-nucleotide long non-coding RNA is filed under the name Homo sapiens (human). RNAcentral describes it as "HSALNT0356784". The record is from RNAcentral. Lineage: Eukaryota; Metazoa; Chordata; Mammalia; Primates; Hominidae.